Long non-coding RNA from Lagopus leucura (white-tailed ptarmigan), 476 nucleotides. RefSeq lists it as uncharacterized. The transcript is spliced from 3 exons. The record is from RefSeq and is a predicted model, not a curated record. Lineage: Eukaryota; Metazoa; Chordata; Aves; Galliformes; Phasianidae.
CACGGCUCUCUGCGUGGUGGUGUCCGGGGACUGCGAUUCCUUCAGCAGCUGCAGGAUCUGCUGGAGCCCCUGCUCGUCGGGCUUCCACUCGUACUCCAUCUUGGCUGCCUGGAAAACAGUAGACAACAGGCGGCCGCGACAUCGUGUUUGUAAGCAUCCUGCUUGUCUAACGGAAAACUAGAAACGGAAACUCACUUAGCACAACACUGGGUAUGAGUGCUGCUGGCACACAGCAUAGUGGUAACUGCCCAGAGGCACAGAGGAUGGAAUAUUUCUGACUGCUGCAUACCCCAGGACCUGCUUCCUUCCCUCCAGACAGAAAUUCAGAAUCAGUGUUAAAAUGUAGUCACAGGAAUGAAAGUUAUCCAUCAAAACAUAUGAUGGCCUACUUCAUCCCACUCAAUCAGUGGAAAGCACCAGAAAUAAACUUGAAACACCACAUCUACAUACAUUAACAAGACAGAAGCUCACCAAAG